RNAcentral lists this ribosomal RNA (497 nucleotides) under uncultured bacterium. RNAcentral describes it as "partial 16S ribosomal RNA". It matches the Rfam family "Bacterial small subunit ribosomal RNA", at positions 28 to 507 of the family's 1533-position model. The record is from RNAcentral.
GAUGAACGCUGGCGGCGUGCCUAAUACAUGCAAGUCGAGCGAACAGACGAGGAGCUUGCUCCUCUGACGUUAGCGGCGGACGGGUGAGUAACACGUGGAUAACCUACCUAUAAGACUGGGAUAACUUCGGGAAACCGGAGCUAAUACCGGAUAAUAUAUUGAACCGCAUGGUUCAAUAGUGAAAGACGGUUUUGCUGUCACUUAUAGAUGGAUCCGCGCCGCAUUAGCUAGUUGGUAAGGUAACGGCUUACCAAGGCAACGAUGCGUAGCCGACCUGAGAGGGUGAUCGGCCACACUGGAACGUGGACACGGUCCAGGCUCCUACGGGAGGCAGCAGUAGGGAAUCUUCCGCAAUGGGCGAAAGCCUGACGGAGCAACGCCGCGUGAGUGAUGAAGGUCUUCGGAUCGUAAAACUCUGUUAUUAGGGAAGAACAAAUGUGUAAGUAACUAUGCACGUCUUGACGGUACCUAAUCAGAAAGCCACGGCUAACUACGUG